Gaeumannomyces tritici R3-111a-1 is the source of this 137-nucleotide ribosomal RNA. The record is from RefSeq and is a predicted model, not a curated record. NCBI's taxonomy places the organism in Eukaryota, Fungi, Ascomycota, Sordariomycetes, Magnaporthales, Magnaporthaceae.
ACGACCAUACCCACUGGAAUAUACGAGAUCCCGUCCGCUUUCCCCUAGUUAAACCAGUGAGGGCCGGUUUGACUAGUGAAGAGCGAUUGGAUCCCGAACAGCUGGCCAAUGAUAAUUUCGGUUAAAUGUUAACUGUC